CAGCAGCCGCGGUAAUACGAAGGGGGCUAGCGUUGCUCGGAAUGACUGGGCGUAAAGGGCGCGUAGGCGGCGGCCAAAGUCAGGCGUGAAAUUCCCGGGCUCAACCUGGGGGCUGCGUUUGAUACUUGGUUGCUUGAGUGGGGAAGAGGGUCGUGGAAUUCCCAGUGUAGAGGUGAAAUUCGUAGAUAUUGGGAAGAACACCGGUGGCGAAGGCGGCGACCCGGUCCUUUACUGACGCUGAGGCGCGAAAGCGUGGGGAGCAAACAGGAUUAGAUACCCCGGUAGUCCCUGUCUCUUAUAA
Molecule: ribosomal RNA, 301 nt
Filed under: uncultured bacterium
Lineage: Bacteria
Description: partial 16S ribosomal RNA
Rfam family: Bacterial small subunit ribosomal RNA
Source: RNAcentral